GGUUGUGGCUCAGUGGUAGAGCGCUCGUCUAGCACAUACAUAGACCCUGGGUUUGAUUCUCAGCACCA
This 68-nucleotide transfer RNA is filed under the name Marmota monax (woodchuck). Its description in RNAcentral is "tRNA.Ala". The record is from RNAcentral. Lineage: Eukaryota; Metazoa; Chordata; Mammalia; Rodentia; Sciuridae.